GAUGAACGCUGGCGGCGUGCCUAAUACAUGCCAGUCGAGCGAACAGACGAGGAGCUUGCUCCUCUGACGUUAGCGGCGGACGGGUGAGUAACACGUGGAUAACCUACCUAUAAGACUGGGAUAACUUCGGGAAGCCGGAGCUAAUACCGGAUAAUAUAUUGAACCGCACGGUUCAAUAGUGAAAGACGGUUUUGCUGUCACUUAUAGAUGGAUCCGCGCCGCAUUAGCUAGUUGGUAAGGUAACGGCUUACCAAGGCAACGAUGCGUAGCCGACCUGAGAGGGUGAUCGGCCACACUGGAACUGAGACACGGUCCAGACUCCUACGGGAGGCAGCAGUAGGGAAUCUUCCGCAAUGGGCGAAAGCUUGACGGAGCAACGCCGCGUGAGUGAUGAAGGUCUUCGGAUCGUAAAACUCUGUUAUUAGGGAAGAACAAAUGUGUAAGUAACUAUGCACGUCUUGACGGUACCUAAUCAGAAAGCCACGGCUAACUACGUG
This 497-nucleotide ribosomal RNA is filed under the name uncultured bacterium. RNAcentral describes it as "partial 16S ribosomal RNA". It matches the Rfam family "Bacterial small subunit ribosomal RNA", at positions 28 to 507 of the family's 1533-position model. The record is from RNAcentral.